This is a non-coding RNA of Biomphalaria pfeifferi, 443 nucleotides long. The record is from the annotation of a GenBank genome assembly. NCBI's taxonomy places the organism in Eukaryota, Metazoa, Mollusca, Gastropoda, Planorbidae.
UAUAAUCACAGCUCCUUCUCCCCCCUCACCCCCCCCUCCAACUCACAAAGUGGGCCAUUCAGGUAUAUUAUAUGCACACCAUAACACUGAACAAUGUCCCAGAUGUUGGAGAAAAUGGGGUUCAAAAGGAUAUAAACAAACUUAUUAGUAAAACUCUAAGACAAACAAAAUUGUAUCAUUAUUUUGUCUUCAACUUAAACAAUAAAUACAUGAAGUGGUACCUGUGAUUGUUCAAUGCAAAACCAAUUUGUAAAAUCUGCAAAUCAAUAAAAACAGUUAUAGGACAUACAUAGAACUAUAAAUAAAUACAUGAAAUGGUAGCUCUAAGUUUGAAUACAGUAAAACCGUGGACUUCUGUUUGAACUCAUAAACCUCUCAGGAGUGCUCAUUUCCAUUUGAAAAAAAUAAGGCUUGAAUUAUGAAAUAAUUAAAAUCUGUAAUAG